Molecule: long non-coding RNA, 228 nt
Filed under: Homo sapiens (human)
Lineage: Eukaryota; Metazoa; Chordata; Mammalia; Primates; Hominidae
Description: HSALNT0386715
Source: RNAcentral
GCGGGGCGGCCGAGCCGAGACCUUCCCACCCCGCCCCACGCCUGGUUGGGGACCUGACGCGCCGUCGCUCUCCUUCUGCCUCCGCAUGCCCAACGAUCCGGAGAAAAACACGGACCAUGACAUCAAAAGGCCUUGGCAAAGGAAUCGUGAUUAUUGUGAUACAAGAUUCUGCACCUCAAAGGGGAUCCCUGUAGUGAGUUUUGGAAAACGUACAAAGCCUGACUUACA